UACGUAGGUGGCAAGCGUUGUCCGGAUUUAUUGGGUUUAAAGGGUGCGUAGGCGGUUUUUUAAGUCAGUGCUGAAAUACUCCAGCUUAACUGGAGGGGUGGCAUUGAUACUGGAAGACUUGAGUACAGAUGAGGUAGGCGGAAUUGACGGUGUAGCGGUGAAAUGCAUAGAUAUCGUCAAGAACACCGAUAGCGAAGGCAGCUUACUGGGCUGUAACUGACGCUGAUGCACGAAAGUGUGGGGGAUCAAACAGG
RNAcentral lists this ribosomal RNA (254 nucleotides) under uncultured bacterium. RNAcentral's name for it is "partial 16S ribosomal RNA". It matches the Rfam family "Bacterial small subunit ribosomal RNA", at positions 524 to 776 of the family's 1533-position model. The record is from RNAcentral.